Molecule: ribosomal RNA, 271 nt
Filed under: uncultured prokaryote
Description: partial 16S ribosomal RNA
Rfam family: Bacterial small subunit ribosomal RNA
Source: RNAcentral
UACGUAGGGGGCGAGCGUUGUCCGGAAUGAUUGGGCGUAAAGGGCGCGUAGGCGGCCUAUCAAGUCAGUAGUGGAAGUCCAUCUUUCAAGGAUGGAAGUGCUACAGAAACUGAAGGGCUUGAGUGCAGGAGAGGUUAUCGGAAUUCCCGGUGUAGCGGUGAAAUGCGUAGAGAUCGGGAGGAACACCAGUGGCGAAGGCGGGUAACUGGACUGCAACUGACGCUGAGGCGCGAAAGUGUGGGGAGCAAACAGGAUUAGAUACCCCGGUAGU